This is a long non-coding RNA of Synchiropus splendidus (mandarinfish), 1158 nucleotides long. RefSeq lists it as uncharacterized. NCBI's taxonomy places the organism in Eukaryota, Metazoa, Chordata, Actinopteri, Syngnathiformes, Callionymidae. The record is from RefSeq and is a predicted model, not a curated record. The transcript has 3 exons.
CCAAGCAGGAGAAUAACACUACAAACCACAACAACAUGACUCCAACAAACUGAGUGACAUCACAAGCACUGAAAACAAGGCAUUUUAAUUGGGGGCUUUGUUAGUAAUAUUUGGAAUGAAUGACUGAAACGUUCCGACUGGUUGACAAGGUAACAACACUGCCAACAGAAUCAACUGAAAGGUCGAUUCCACGGCACCUUCUUCGCUUCUUGCUGCUUGGCGGAGUGCGCGCAGCGGUGCGUCGAGAGGGUGAGGGUCUCCUGCGUCACAGUGGAAACCGGAGGCUCAAGAUCUCAUCGCAAAAGUCCACUUCAUGAAAGUCUUCAAAGUCUGAUCCAGGAACGAGGCAGCGCGUGAUGAAGUCCAGCCCGUUCGCUGUGAAGGACGCAAAGUGAUGCUGAGAGUCAAGACGUGCGUGAUUCGCGCGUUCACAGGAGUGUUCCUGAGCGAGGCCAAGUGAUGCUUUCCUCCACCCCAAAGAGACGUCGCUGCAAUGAUGCAACAAAUCAGACAGGUUUUUCUUUGACAGUUUGCUGUUUGAACUUGCUUUUUUCCUGCAUUAACUGGUGAGCUCUGCAGCAAGGAGGUUCAGUCAGGUGUUAGUGUUCGGAUAUGAUACAACACUCAGUAUAGUUGGCUGUUCCUGGCUGACUCCAUCAUCUGCUGUAUCUAGUAAACAGAAAUUGAAUUUGGAUUGUCAUGUAGUGCUCCCCUCUGUGCCUCAAUUUACUGCUGUGACAUGAGUUGCCAAGGCCUGAGGCACUUGAGAGGAUAGUUAUGAUCAAAGAUUUGUGGCGCCACUCGGGUGUGACCGCUGGUAAAGGACAAUGGCGAUGUGCAAAUCACAUUCAUGAAGUUUGGAUACAAACUCAAGGUAAUAUCUGCACAGACAUACAAAGAGGUUUGUUUAGGCCAAGUCCAAAUAUUCAAAUGAUCAGUUUACAACAAGGUCAAUAAUGAAAAACAAUUACUCAUGACAGAAUUUUCAUUAAUGCACAAUAAAAGCAAAGCAAUGUUAGCACUCACAUCCAGCGCAGAUUUCACAGUAGCUGUGAUCUCCUUCAUCCACCACCAUCAUCAGAGCACUCUGGCUCUUUCCCAUCUCCAUGGAGAGAUGAUUGGCGUGUACUUAUAAAGUAUGUGGUGGUGUGAACUAGA